Molecule: ribosomal RNA, 207 nt
Filed under: uncultured bacterium
Lineage: Bacteria
Description: partial 16S ribosomal RNA
Rfam family: Bacterial small subunit ribosomal RNA
Source: RNAcentral
CGCGUAGGCGGCUUUGCAAGCCGGAUGUGAAAUCCCCGGGCUUAACCUGGGAACUGCAUUCGGGACUGCAUUGCUUGAGUAUGGGAGAGGGAGGCGGAAUUUCCGGUGUAGCGGUGAAAUGCGUAGAUAUCGGAAGGAACAUCAGUGGCGAAAGCGGCCUCCUGGACCAAUACUGACGCUCAUGUGCGAAAGCGUGGGGAGCAAACA